Molecule: transfer RNA, 89 nt
Filed under: Solms-laubachia tianbaoshanensis
Lineage: Eukaryota; Viridiplantae; Streptophyta; Magnoliopsida; Brassicales; Brassicaceae
Description: partial tRNA-Phe
Source: RNAcentral
GCCGGGAUAGAUCAGUUGGUAGAGCAGAGGACUCGAAAUCCUCGUUGUCACCGGUUCAAACCUGGGGCAACGGCCGGGAUAGCUCAGUG